CCUACGGGAGGCAGCAGCCAGGAAUCUUGGGCAAUGGGCGAAAGCCUGACCCAGCAACACCGUGUGGGUGAUGAAGGCCUUCGGGUCGUAAAGCCCUGUUGAUAGGGACGAAGGGCGAAGGGUUAAUAGCCUACAGCUUGACGGUACCUUUCGAGGAAGCCCCGGCUAACUACGUGCCAGCAGCCGCGGUAAUACGUAGGGGGCGAGCGUUGUCCGGAAUUAUUGGGCGUAAAGAGCGUGUAGGCGGUUCGGUAAGUCUGUCGUGAAAUCCUGGGGCUCAACCCUGGGCGUGCGAUGGAUACUGCCGGGCUAGAGGGUGGUAGAGGCGAGUGGAAUUCCCGGUGUACCGGUGAAAUGCGCAGAUAUCGGGAGGAACACCAGUAGCGAAGGCGGCUCGCUGGGCCACACCUGACGCUGAGACGCGAAAGCUAGGGGAGCGAACAGGAUUAGAUACCCUGGUAGUCCUACCCGUAAACGAUGGACACUAGGUGUGGGCGGAGUCGAAUCU
Molecule: ribosomal RNA, 508 nt
Filed under: uncultured bacterium
Lineage: Bacteria
Description: bacterial SSU rRNA
Rfam family: Bacterial small subunit ribosomal RNA
Source: RNAcentral